UUGACCUCAAAUCAGGUAGGACUACCCGCUGAACUUAAGCAUAUCAAUAAGCGGAGGAAAAGAAACUAACAAGGAUUCCCCUAGUAACUGCGAGUGAAGAGGGAAAAGCUCAAAUUUAAAAUCUGGCGGCUCGCCGUCCGAGU
This 143-nucleotide ribosomal RNA is filed under the name Oudemansiella venosolamellata. RNAcentral describes it as "partial 25S ribosomal RNA". It matches the Rfam family "Eukaryotic large subunit ribosomal RNA", at positions 1 to 143 of the family's 3401-position model. Lineage: Eukaryota; Fungi; Basidiomycota; Agaricomycetes; Agaricales; Physalacriaceae. The record is from RNAcentral.